AGAUUGGACUGGUUUAGAUGAAGAUGAAGAUGCGCAUGUCUGGGAAGACAAUUGGGAUGAUGACAACGUAGAAGAUGAUUUCUCCAAUCAGUUAAGAGCUGAAUUAGAAAAGCACGGAUACAAGAUGGAAACCUCAUAGUUCUUGCUGGCUGUGGAGUGGCUUGACACUGAACUGUGGAUAGACUAUAUUGAGAUGAGAAGGUGGAAAAUGAGAAGACUCUCUUAGUUCGUUAUUUGCUUGGAUUUAUUAUUGUUUUGUAUAAAAAAAAUAAAGUUUUUAAUCUUA
Molecule: non-coding RNA, 286 nt
Organism: Leptosomus discolor (cuckoo roller)
Lineage: Eukaryota; Metazoa; Chordata; Aves; Leptosomiformes; Leptosomidae
Source: RefSeq, a predicted model, not a curated record